UGAUUUACAAAUGGCGAUCUAUCCGUCCACGCUGGUCAAGUCCCACAGGAGAGCCGGAUGAUGUGGAUCAUCAGAAUUCGAACAUAGUCUGA
This is a long non-coding RNA of Nematolebias whitei (Rio pearlfish), 92 nucleotides long. RefSeq lists it as uncharacterized. The transcript is spliced from 3 exons. The record is from RefSeq and is a predicted model, not a curated record. NCBI's taxonomy places the organism in Eukaryota, Metazoa, Chordata, Actinopteri, Cyprinodontiformes, Rivulidae.